RNAcentral lists this ribosomal RNA (200 nucleotides) under uncultured bacterium. RNAcentral describes it as "partial 16S ribosomal RNA". It matches the Rfam family "Bacterial small subunit ribosomal RNA", at positions 524 to 719 of the family's 1533-position model. The record is from RNAcentral.
GACGAACCGUGCGAACGUUAUUCGGAAUCACUGGGCUUAAAGCGCGUGUAGGCGGGCGGGAACGUCGGUCGUUGAAAUCCCCCGGCUCAACCGGGGAAUGGGCGCCGGAAACGACUCGCCUCGAGGGACGUAGGGGGACCUGGAAGCUUCCGGUGGAGCGGUGGAAAUGCGUUGAGAUCGGAAGGAACGCCCGCGGCGAA